Molecule: long non-coding RNA, 1451 nt
Organism: Ictalurus punctatus (channel catfish)
Lineage: Eukaryota; Metazoa; Chordata; Actinopteri; Siluriformes; Ictaluridae
Source: Ensembl
GUGAAUUUAUCCGCUUCGAUGGAUUGUCACUUUUGGACCGUAAUGGCAGUUUAUGUGUCAAGAACAGCGCUGCGAUAAGGAGAGGAGCACAUGGACGAGGAGGUGGACGGCAGUGGGAAGGAAGAACAGAAUGCUGAUGACCCUGCUCUUCCUUGUGCCAGCCUUGUGGCACAGAACCAGCCUCAGCACCACCAUGAGCUCUACACACAAGACCAGGACCUUCCCAUCAUGCACUGGGAGGAUUUGAGUUUGCGAAUAGCCGAGCUUGAGAAACAGGAGGAAGAGAGGAGGAAAAGAGCUGAGGUUUAACACUCCUAAAAACCUGCAGCUGUGUUUUAUCAACGAUAGUGAGAGCGAUCAAGAGGGUGAUGAAGGGGCAUCCUUCAGAGAGAGGCCACAUGAUUCACAGGGACAGGGGCGACAAUCUGCCGGCCUGAAACAGGAAGUCAGAGCAGCUCUGAAUGAGCUCCGAGAUAAGCUUUGGGCUGAGCAGGGGCAGCAACAGCAGCCGAGCCACAAGGACGUGAGCUUUAGGAGAAGAAAGCUUAGCCACAGUGACCUGCAAACCUGCUCUGUGCUUCAGCUAAAUGCUCUCAGGACUUCCCUCCAUGAAGACAUUCAGGAUCUGAGCUCAGAAUUAGUGAAGCAUCUGGUGGUGAGGGACAAUCUACGGACAAAGCAAGAUGCCAUGCUCCUGGAUGUACAGGAUAUGACAUCACUGUGACGCACAUCAAUCUAUAAUUAGCCUUUAUUAUAAAAUAGUCUGCCAUAUGAUAGGCCUUUUUGGAAUGAUGGACCUAUAUUACACCAGCAAUUUAUUGUCUAAUAUGUUUUUGUUUUCUACUUUACACUAACAAAGCCAUAUGAUCCUGUUUGUCUUGAUUCGCUUUUUUGUGCUCACACAAAUAUUGCUUACUAUGUGAAUGUAAUUAUUUUAGUCACAAGUUUUAUUGUGAGAAACUGUGCAUGUGUGAAAGAGUAGCUAAACAAGCAUGCUCUUCAUGUUUUCAACAUUUGUUUUACAUUACCAUCUGUAAAAACUGUGAAAGCUGCUAUUAAAUGUACGUGUGAUCAGUAACUGCUUCAUGGGAGUAAGAACUGCAUGUAAUAUAAUAUAGCAUCUGCUGAAUAUGGGGCUUCAUGUUGUAAAAACACUAACACAACCUUUAAGUAUUUUUCUUAAAAUUUGACAAUUAAUAUAACUGAAUAAAUUUGUAACGUUUACUUAACUCCUAAAUGCUUGGGUGUUUUGCCAGCCUUUGUCAUUUUUGAGAUACUAUACUAUCAGUGCUUUCAAAUGCAUUGAGCUACAUGUAACAAUAUUCACUGUUAACUACAUCCAUGGUUAUUUUGCCGAUUACAUAUCUAAGCGAAAUCACUUUUUUUCAGUUCAUUUAUUCUAAGUGGUCAUUUUGUUAACUGAAAAACAAAACAAAGAACGAAUGAGGAGG